RNAcentral lists this ribosomal RNA (1058 nucleotides) under uncultured Bacteroidales bacterium. RNAcentral's name for it is "bacterial SSU rRNA". It matches the Rfam family "Bacterial small subunit ribosomal RNA", at positions 32 to 1087 of the family's 1533-position model. Lineage: Bacteria; Pseudomonadati; Bacteroidota; Bacteroidia; Bacteroidales. The record is from RNAcentral.
AACGCUAGCUACAGGCUUAACACAUGCAAGUCGAGGGGUAGCACGGAGGAAGCUUGCUUCCUUGGGUGACGACCGGCGCACGGGUGAGUAACGCGUAUCCGACCUACCCAUAACUCGGGCACAGCCGCUCGAAAGAGUGAUUGAUUCCCGAUAUGUCAUUGGAGUAGAUUCAAUGAUGAAAGAUUUAUCGGUUAUGGAUGGGGAUGCGUAAGAUUAGGUAGUAGGCGGGGUAACGGCCCACCUAGCCGACGAUCUUUAGGGGUUCUGAGAGGAAGGUCCCCCACACUGGAACUGAGACACGGUCCAGACUCCUACGGGAGGCAGCAGUGAGGAAUAUUGGUCAAUGGCCGGAAGGCUGAACCAGCCAAGUAGCGUGAAGGAUGAAGGUUCUAUGGAUUGUAAACUUCUUUUAUACGGGAAUAAAACCACCUACGUGUAGGUGCUUGUAUGUACCGUAUGAAUAAGCAUCGGCUAACUCCGUGCCAGCAGCCGCGGUAAUACGGAGGAUGCGAGCGUUAUCCGGAUUUAUUGGGUUUAAAGGGAGCGUAGACGGGAUGUUAAGUCAGUUGUGAAAGGCUGCGGCUCAACCGCAGCACUGCAGUUGAUACUGGCGUCCUUGAGUGCGGUUGAGGUGUGUGGAAUUCGUGGUAUAGCGGUGAAAUGCUUAGAUAUCACGAAGAACUCCGAUUGCGAAGGCAGCACACUAAGCCGCUACUGACGUUGAGGCUCGAAAGUGUGGGUAUCAAACAGGAUUAGAUACCCUGGUAGUCCACACGGUAAACGAUGGAUACUCGCUGCCGGCGAUACACAGUCGGUGGCCACGCGAAAGCCUUAAGUAUCCCACCUGGGGAGUACGCCGGCAACGGUGAAACUCAAAGGAAUUGACGGGGGCCCGCACAAGCGGAGGAACAUGUGGUUUAAUUCGAUGAUACGCGAGGAACCUUACCCGGGCUUGAACUAUGGUGGACCGUUCCAGAGAUGGAUCUUCCCUUCGGGGCCGCCAUGGAGGUGCUGCAUGGUUGUCGUCAGCUCGUGCCGUGAGGUGUCGGCUUAAGUGC